GACGGGGGGGGCAAGUGUUCUUCGGAAUGACUGGGCGUAAAGGGCGCGUAGGCGGCUCAUGAAGGCUGUGGUGAAAGUCCGGGGCUCAACCUCGGAUCGGCCGUGGCGACUCGUGGGCUGGAGCACUGUAGAGGCGGGUGGAAUUCCGGGUGUAGCGGUGGAAUGCGUAGAGAUCCGGAAGAACACCAGUGGCGAAGGCGGCCCGCUGGGCAGUGGCUGACGCUGAGGCGCGACAGCGUGGGGAGCAAACAGG
RNAcentral lists this ribosomal RNA (253 nucleotides) under uncultured bacterium. Its description in RNAcentral is "partial 16S ribosomal RNA". It matches the Rfam family "Bacterial small subunit ribosomal RNA", at positions 524 to 776 of the family's 1533-position model. The record is from RNAcentral.